UACGAACGCUGGCGGCGUGCUUAACACAUGCAAGUCGAACGGAAAGGCCCUGCUUUUGUGGGGUGCUCGAGUGGCGAACGGGUGAGUAACACGUGAGUAACCUGCCCUUGACUUUGGGAUAACUUCAGGAAACUGGGGCUAAUACCGGAUAGGAGCUCCUGCUGCAUGGUGGGGGUUGGAAAGUUUCGGCGGUUGGGGAUGGACUCGCGGCUUAUCAGCUUGUUGGUGGGGUAGUGGCUUACCAAGGCUUUGACGGGUAGCCGGCCUGAGAGGGUGACCGGCCACAUUGGGACUGAGAUACGGCCCAGACUCCUACGGGAGGCAGCAGUGGGGAAUAUUGCACAAUGGGCGGAAGCCUGAUGCAGCAACGCCGCGUGCGGGAUGACGGCCUUCGGGUUGUAAACCGCUUUCGCCUGUGACGAAGCGUGAGUGACGGUAAUGGGUAAAGAAGCACCGGCUAACUACGUGCCAGCAGCCGCGGUGAUACGUAGGGUGCGAGCGUUGUCCGGGUUUAUUGGGCGUAAAGGGCUCGUAGGUGGUUGAUCGCGUCGGAAGUGUAAUCUUGGGGCUUAACCCUGAGCGUGCUUUCGAUACGGGUUGACUUGAGGAAGGUAGGGGAGAAUGGAAUUCCUGGUGGAGCGGUGGAAUGCGCAGAUAUCAGGAGGAACACCAGUGGCGAAGGCGGUUCUCUGGGCCUUUCCUGACGCUGAGGAGCGAAAGCGUGGGGAGCGAACAGGCUUAGAUACCCUGGUAGUCCACGCUGUAAACGGUGGGUACUAGGUGUGGGGUCCAUUCCACGGGUUCCGUGCCGUAGCUAACGCUUUAAGUACCCCGCCUGGGGAGUACGGCCGCAAGGCUAAAACUCAAAGGAGUUGACGGGGCCCCGCACAAGCGGCGGAGCAUGCGGAUUAAUUCGAUGCAACGCGUAGAACCUUACCUGGGUUUGACAUGGAUCGGGAGUGCUCAGAGAUGGGUGUGCCUCUUUUGGGGUCGGUUCACAGGUGGUGCAUGCCUGUCGUCAGCUCGUGUCGUGAGAUGUUGGGUUAAGUCCCGCAACGAGCGCAACCCUUGUUCACUGUUGCCAGCACGUUAUGGUGGGGACUCAGUGGAGACCGCCGGGGUCAACUCGGAGGAAGGUGGGGAUGACGUCAAGUCAUCAUGCCCCUUAUGUCCAGGGCUUCACGCAUGCUACAAUGGCUGGUACAGAGAGUGGCGAGCCUGUGAGGGUGAGCGAAUCUCGGAAAGCCGGUCUCAGUUCGGAUUGGGGCCUGCAACUCGACCUCAUGAAGUGGGAGUCGCUAGUAAUCGCAGAUCAGCAACGCUGCCUCGAAAAGGGUCCCGGGGCU
This 1346-nucleotide ribosomal RNA is filed under the name uncultured bacterium. RNAcentral describes it as "partial 16S ribosomal RNA". It matches the Rfam family "Bacterial small subunit ribosomal RNA", at positions 28 to 1381 of the family's 1533-position model. The record is from RNAcentral.